Amphibalanus amphitrite is the source of this 1792-nucleotide long non-coding RNA. RefSeq lists it as uncharacterized. The transcript is spliced from 3 exons. The record is from RefSeq and is a predicted model, not a curated record. Lineage: Eukaryota; Metazoa; Arthropoda; Thecostraca; Balanomorpha; Balanidae.
CAGAAUUUGGUGUUGAACCCUGCGGGCCAUGAUUUACAGCCACAAGUUGCGUACUGUAAAUGCUGCUAAUAUACGUUUGUCGCUAGCAGACGCACGACGUUGCAUUCGAUUGGCUAAGCGACGUUUUAUUUGCUGACAGAGAACACUUUUUAGUUUCAACAUGUUUUCUGACUUGGUUUUUGUUGAUAUUGGUUUAUGUUGAUGGGAAACGGAAGUUAAUGCAUAGGGAAGACGUCUUGGUAUCGGUUGGGCGAACAUAGCACGAGCUGCUAUUUGGGCGGGAAUGCGUAUUAACCUACAACCUUGAACCUGUUAUUGGCUACGCGCCCUAAUCCACGAAGAAGAAGAAAGAAGAAGCUUGUGCUACGUCUGCCUUAUCGUUACCAACGUCUUCAGUGAAACACUUUCAGCAGUGCAGAUGAGAAAAAUUAAUUGAGCAAAUAUAAUGUCGUAGGUACAUAUCACAUAUAAACCAGGUUACCAUCAACAUGUCAGGUGUAACAGGCAGAUUGCGCUGAAAUUUCAGCACAGUGUCCAGAGUAAUGGUGAAACUUCAGUUUUUUACAUUUAAGAUUAUAAAGAAACACAAUUUUGAUGAAGAGUAACCAAUGAAUUUGAACAGUGAACACUAGAGUAACUAAUUCAACUAUUUGUUGUUAUGCAGACUGCCCGCCAGCGGACGGAGGCCAACCGACGGACGCCGGCUCAAAGGCCAACAGUGGCCCGCCCGCCGGCCGACACCGGCCCGCCGGCCGACGGUGGCUCGUCGACCGACACCGGCCCGUCGGCCGACUACGGCCCUCCGGCUGAUGGUGGCCCGCCAGCCGACGGAGGUCCGCCGGCCAUUCGUGGCACGCCCGCCGACGGCAGCUCGACUACACGUCCUGGCUAUGUCACCCCCAAGAUUACUUCGCCCCCCCCCCCAAGUCCCUAGGUCACCAGUUGCGGACGCUUCAUCUGACGGUGUCGUCCGACGGCUCCACGGUGACCAGCGCCGCCACUGCGGAAACCAUCGGACCCCGAAAAUGCUGCUAGCCGUACACGAACAAAAGGCGCCAGGCACCCAGGACCAGCGCCCUGCUCCGAGGGGGUAUCUAAAGAAGGCCGCAUAGUGCACUUGCUGUGCUAAGGCAUAGUGCGCGCUGACUGAUAGGAACAAAUGACGGUCAGUUAUCAGAUCUCAGUAUGGAACUCAAGAUGGUCGGAGCCGACCUGGCCCGGUGGAUGGUGUGCCAGGGUUGAUUAAGUGUCGAAAGGAGUGAGACGCCGAGAUAUGUGAAGGAUACGUCGAUACGAGCCCCGGCUUCGACUCCCCGUCCCAAAACGAUGUUGGCUGUGAUUGGAGUUUGGUAUCUUUACGGAUUUCCCCCCCCCCCCCCCACCCCUGAAUUUGUGCUAUGUAAUAGGACGAUAAUAUGUCGUGGUCUCAUUCUGGCUCGAUAUGGUAAUAGGUACUUAAUUGGACAGAUGUUGAUGGUAUUGGUGGUGGAUGUAAAUGACAGGUUUGGCGAGCGCGAACUAGUAAUCGUGAGUGCACUAGCUGCAAUCAGUCGCGCGCUUAUUGCUGAGCACCUGUGAGCAAGAAAAUGGUAUGAAAGUGGUAGUUCGUCGUGAAAUCUGUGUACUUUUGGAUUAAGUUUUCAGAACGGAAGUGUAUUUUUGCCGUGUCCACUGCAGCUCUGGAACAGAAACAUAGAGAUCGGCUGUGUGCUGUAGCAGGGGCAAGUAGUCCGUGCCAAAAAAUCAAAGGUGAUAUGUGAAUUUAAGUGAAUAUACCUCGCUUUAUUUUCAA